Molecule: long non-coding RNA, 507 nt
Organism: Triticum aestivum (bread wheat)
Lineage: Eukaryota; Viridiplantae; Streptophyta; Magnoliopsida; Poales; Poaceae
Exons: 3
Source: RefSeq, a predicted model, not a curated record
GUAUUUGCAAAUACUGCGAAGACGAGCGCGGCCUGUGCGAUGGAAUCUUCCUAGAUGAUGAUAGGCGCUUCAGCAUCAAGCUGGACGAGAACUUCGAAGUGGAUACACGUAUCCCCUGCCAUGCAAGAGUUUUUGUAUUGGAUAAGAUAUGUUUCAGUCAUAGUAUGGAGGAAAAGAAAGUUUACUUGAAGACCGAGCAUGGCUAUAUUUUCCAUGCGAAGUUAUACAAUUCAGAUGACUACACCUAUUUUGGAUGCAAAACAUGGCGAGCACUAUGCAAGACUUAUGCAUUUGAGCCUGAUAUGGUUAUCACCUUUUAUAUUCGUCCGGAAGAUGAUAUUGAAGGUAAUACCGACAUCUGGGUCAAUGUGCAAAUGCCUUCAGUUAUACCAUUAUCUUAUUUCCGUGCAAGCAAACAUGUCCAGCGCUUGGUAGACAGGACCGUAUACUGUCCUGGGGCUGAACUCAACUACGAGGAGCUCAGUCAUUAUGUUUCAUGGCUUGAGG